Molecule: unclassified non-coding RNA, 3608 nt
Filed under: Leishmania donovani
Lineage: Eukaryota; Euglenozoa; Kinetoplastea; Trypanosomatida; Trypanosomatidae
Description: gene:LdHU3.12.1040(CDS-product:surface_antigen_pr otein_2_putative)
Source: RNAcentral
ACGUGCGUGCGCAUACACACCACCCCUCACCUCGCUGCUGCUGCUGCUGUGACAGCUCUACGGACCCUGUCCAGUCGUUGCGCCCCCGCCACUCGCCUCUGUCCCCCGCACGAGGCUACGCACGACGUGUCGGCGACCCCGCACUGCUCUUGACGCUGGCUGCGAAUGGCGCUGUGCGUGCGUUGGCUGGUGCUGGCGGCAACCCUCGCCGCUGUGGUGGCGCUGCUGCUGUGCACGAGCAGUGCGCCGGUGGCGCGUGCUGUUAAGGAGAGCGACUUCACUGCUGAGCAGCGGAAGAACACGAGAGAUGUGCUGCAGGCGUUUGGGCGUGCGAUCCCUGAGCUUGGGAAGAAGUGGAUAGGCAACGACUUCUGCUCGUGGAAGUACGUCGACUGCUACUCCUCUGACGUCAGCGUAUGGGUGGGUAGUGCGGAUUAUGCGGGCUCGCUGCCGGAGAUGCCUGCGGGCGUCGACUACAGGCACGUCGUGAUCACGCUACUCGACUUCAGCGCAAUGGGCCAGAGGCUGAGCGGGACGCUGCCCGCCUCGUGGAGCUCGAUGACAUCACUGGCCACGCUUUAUCUCCGGCUCACGAAGGUCUCCGGCACGCUGCCGCCCCAGUGGAGCUCGAUGACAUCGCUGGUGUCGUUGUGGCUUGAAAGGUGCGAACGUGUCACCGGGACGCUGCCCGCCUCGUGGAGCUCGAUGACAUCGCUGAGCGAUCUCAAUCUGCAUGGCACUCAGGUCUCCGGCAGUCUGCCGCCUCAGUGGAGCUCGAUGACAUCGCUGGGCACGCUUUAUCUGCGGCUCACGAAGGUCUCCGGCAGUCUGCCGCCCCAGUGGAGGUCGAUGAGAUCGCUGAACGUUCUCGAUCUGCAGGGCGCUAAGGUCUCCGGCAGUCUGCCCUCCGAGUGGAGUGGGAUGAAGAGUGCCGAGGUCCUGCAGCUGCAGGACUGCGACCUGUCCGGCAGUCUGCCCUCCUCGUGGUCUGCGAUGCCGAAGCUGAAGAAAGUCGCACUUAGGGGCAACCACUUCUGCGGGUGUGUGCCUGAGUCGUGGGUGAAGAAGGCUACUGUCAUUGUGGAGAUCGAGGACGAGCACAAGGGCCGCGACUGCUCGACUGAGAGGGUAUGCCCAACGACUGCUCCUCCGCAACCGACCACUACUGUGGGGCCUAAUAUACCCACGACCACUGCGAGCCCAACAGCCACGCCUACUCCUGCCCCCGAGACGGAGUGCGAGGUGGAUGGGUGUGAGGUGUGCGAGGGGGACUCCGCGGCGAGGUGCGCCAGGUGCCGUGAGGGCUACUUCCUGACGAGCGAGAAGACGUGCCGGGCCGACCGCGAUGGCGGCGUUGCGGCCGCGUCGAGCGGAGCGGCUGCUGCCGCUGCUGUGUGCAUGGCUGUGCUGCUGAGCGUGGGGCUGGCGGCGUGAGGAUGCCGCUGCUGUCACGCGCAGGCGGCGGCACCCGCUGCGUGGCACACGGCUGCGUGCGUGCCUGUGGGCUGAUGGGGGCGGAGCGCGGGUGUGUGUGGAGCGGGGCAGCAGCCGCUGGAGAGAGGGGGAGGGCGAUAGCCGAGAUGCAAGGGCCGCGGUGUUUGUGCGGCCAUGUGCGGCGUGCGGCACACGGGCGGUGCGUGCACCGGCUUGGGACCGACAGCCCGCACCCCCUUCCGUCGCCUCCACUUCUCCCUCGCUCCCUCGUUGCAGGUGAGAGGCGCGCACCCAUGGCUGCUGCGGCGCACACGCAAGGCAGCGUGUAUUGUGUCUCGGUGCGACCUCUGCAUGGCGGCCCCGCUCUGCGACACCUUGUUGCCCGGGCACUCCGGCGGCGUGCGCUCUGUCCCCCUCUCCUGUCACGUGUCGUGAUGCGCUGCUGCGCUGAGGAUGCGUGCCACGGCCUGCCAGCACGGCUGCUGCACGAGCCGCAGCAAUGGCGUACAGCAGGGUGUGGGCGUCGGGCGCAGUGCUGGUCUGGUGAGGCGGACCCCUCUUAUCUGUGGUGCCCCUGCUGCCUCCCCUCCCCCUCGGCACGACGCCCUCGCUGCCCUCUCACCCCCGGCUGCUACAGGAGAGACCGACGCCCACGCGCGGACGCAGACACACACACCAUCGUGCACCGUUCGCGCUUUCCCCCGCUGUCGCGCCGGCACGGAUGCACGAGGAUGCGGGGGCGUGCGCACGUAUGUGCGUGUGUGCGUGCCGGCUGUUGUCUGUCGCUCUCUCUCUGCGACCAGCACUCGGCACCCGCGCCGAUGGAAUGUGUGCGCGGCGGUGGAGGCUCGCCUUGGGCCGCGGGUGCGGACGUCCGCCACUGGCUGUCUGCGGUGCGGGCUGCUGUGCUGCAGCGCCUCGAGGCCCCCCUCUCCCGCCAGGGCGAGCGAGCGAGCCUCUGCUGCCGUGUGGGCGACGCACGCAUGCACCGUCCGGGCCUCUUCAACGGGCUUCGAUAGCGGUGCUGUGUUUUGGCCGUGUGGGCGGGUGCUGCGGUGGCGCCUGGUGUGGCUGUGCUGGCACGCCUUGCCGCGCCCCUUGCGCCGCUGCCAUCGGCGGCUUCGUCGCUGACGCUGCCGCUCGCACGCGUGCUCGGGCCGUCUGUGCAGCAGCGGUGGUGUGCCGGAGUCGGCGGCACGCCGUCGAACCCUGAUUGGCGCCUCCGCGAGGUGCGACGGGGAAGCUGGGGGGAUGGGGAGGGCGUGGGCGCCCUCGUGCGCGGCAUGCGGGGAUGCGCGUGCGGCGGCGCUCUACUGCGCUGAGUAGUGAGGCUCGGUGCACGCGGCGCGAUGGCACGCAGCCUCGCUACCGGGCCACCCCGCUGUGCGUACGCAGCGGGUGAGCAGGCCCGUGCUCUCCCCUGCACCUUGCCCCUCUCCCCCACCCUCCUCUCUCGCAUGCCGGCGAGGGAGGGGUGGCACGUGCGCGUGUGCCGCUGCGCUUGCGAGUGCGUCUGUGCGUGGGCCCUCACCACGUGCUCCGGUCACGCCUUCUCGGCUGGCCACUCGCGGCGCUGAGGGCGGUGUGCCCCUCCCCCGAGCGCCGUCGCACUCUCUUCCACGCGUCUGCGCGGGCUUCUUCGUGCGCUGUGCUCAGCCGUGCGCUCUCACCUCUUUCCCUUUUCAUUCGCUUGUCUUCUCUCUUCUCCCCCGCACUGCGGUCUCCCCUCCUCUGCCGUGCGGUGCGCAGGCGGGUGACUUGCCGUUGCGUCUCCCCCUUUCGUGGAGCGCUGAGCCGAUCCCCCUUCGGCCUCCCUCCUCCCUACUCCCGUGGGUCCUGUCUGUUGUACAUCGUCGGACCGUCUCUGAGCAUCGCCUCUCCGCCUCGUCCGCAGAGCCGCGCUCGCCUGUGCCGCCUCUCGGACUUUAUCCUUACUGUGUAUUCUCACGGUGCGUCUCCGUGUGUGUGUGUGCCACGCACCGCUUCUUCCAUGUGUGUCCUUGCUUGCUCUCUUCUCCCCCCCCCCUCCCCCUCUGCCUCACACAUUCCGUGCGUGUGUGCAUCACCGUUGGGCGGCGACAUCGGUGCCCGUCCCUGCCACCCUCUACUCCCUCAUUCGCAUCUUGCCACAUCGUGGGCGGUGCGUGCAUGCAUGGAUGUAUAUACACGCAUAG